AAAAUAAUUAUACAGAUCACCAUAAUGUAGAAUCAGUGGGAGCCCUGAGCUUGUUUUCCUGCAACUAGAUGGUCUCAUCUGGGGCUGAUGGGAGACAGUGACAGAUCAUCAGGCAUUAGGUUCUCAUAAGGAGCAAGCAUGCCACAUGACCCCUCACAUACACAGUUCACAAUAGGGUUCACGAUCCUGUGAGAAUCUAAUGCCUGAGCUGACAGGAGGCGAGGCUCAGGCAGUCACGUGAGCAAUGGGAAGUGGUUGUAAAUACAGAUGAAGCUUUGCUCACUCACUGCUCACCUCCUGCGGGGCAGCCUGGUUCCUAACAGGCCACGGUCCGUGGCCGGGGGGUUGGGAACUCCUGGUGUAAUAGACUCAGGUGCUGUAGGUGGCCAUAUUGACUUUAAUACAAUGUCACACUUAAUUUUGAUGUAAUUUCACACAUACAGGAAAGUAGCAAGAAGAGGAAGAAGAGCUCCCGUGCGCCUCUGCCUGGGUCCAUCUGGCCUCAUUGCUGAUGUUUUAUGAUUCCUCGAAAGAUCUGAAGCUUCCUAGAUGAUGAUGAUGAUGAUGAUGAUGAUUAUGAGAGGUUCGAGAACACAAGGUGAGAUGUGCUGCUGUGUGGCCAGGGUCAUCGACACCAUCCUGACGAAGGCCAGCCUGUCUGCGGCAGCCAGAGGACAGACAGAAGAGCAGGGUGAACCCACAGACUCCCAGAGACCUGGAGGAUGCAGGUACCGUGUGGUCAUUGCCACAGAACCACGAUGGCAGAG
Molecule: long non-coding RNA, 767 nt
Filed under: Aotus nancymaae (Ma's night monkey)
Lineage: Eukaryota; Metazoa; Chordata; Mammalia; Primates; Aotidae
Description: lncRNA (ENSANAG00000039495.1)
Source: RNAcentral